UUAGCAUGGACAUCAAAACAGUUCAUGGGUUUCCUAAGGCUCUUGGAUUCAUUUUUAUAAUAGUGUGAAAAUACCUUAUUGAGUAGUUGAACAGUGAACUUAAUAAAUUCUCAACUAGUCCUGGGGCUGAUCUAAUAGUCUGAAUCUACUAAAGCAUUAAAAUCUUACCUGGAUGGACUAUUCUUCAGUAGACUGGAAUCCAUCAUUUUACUCAAUUUUAUUCAGCUUGGGGAAAACAUGGAAGUUUAAAUCCCAGAUGAAAACUGGCACAGGAAUGUGUUCUAUAACAUCAAGUAGCAACUAUGUAUCUCUUCAUGUGUAACCUUGCUAUAAUGUUUAGAAUGAAAUGAAUUUGCCAAGUGAUUAAGUAAGACUUGAAAUGAUAAAAUGAGUUACUGAUGCUCUCCCCAAAAUUAUCAGAACUGUUAUAUAGAGUCACAUAUAUUACAUGAAAAUACAUGCUUAACUCGUAUAUUUAGCAUGUUAAUACACAUUUACUGAAACAUAUUUAUUAGUAAUAAAUAAUCCCUAUAGUAAGAGAUGUACUUAUUGCUCUGUUGUUUUAUUAACUGAAAAUAUAGUAAAAAAAAAAAAAAAAAAAGCCAAUGGGAAUGAACCUGUCUGUGAUAAUCAUCUAAAAAGUAGAUAAAACUAGGAAAUCAUCGUAGGGAAUGAGACUUAGUUAUACAGUAUAGGAAGUUGCCAAAUGUUUGGACUUAUGUUGCUAAUAUUUUGCCACAAUGCAUAAAAAUUACCCCAGACCCUUAGAGACAGUCGUACAACCUGACAAGCAUUUUCAGAAUUGACAGUCCCCCUUACCCAGUAGAUAUUUCAUUCUCUGCAUGCUGGGCUUCUUUGCAGUUGUUGAAAACCAAGGCAGAUGGGCACUCCAGACAGCCUGAGGGGACAGGAAUAACACACUUCAGAGCACCAGGUGCCAUGAGAUUCCUUCUUUUCAUCAGUUGGGCUAAUAGACCCGUGGAGGCCAGGAACUCAGGCAUAUCCUAGAGGGUCUUGCAGGUGGCCAUCAUUGAAGUGCCUGGUAGACUUCCUGCCGACCCCUGGUUUCACAGAGAGUCGAGAGCAUAGCUCUUCCGCUGUGACAGCCUGGCUUUGACAUGAAAUAGCAUAUUAGAGAAACUCUGAGGGUUUUGCAGUAUGGAAAACAUUCCGAGGUUGAUGCUGAUGAACAAUCUGAGCGUUUUUCUUUUUUCUCUCUCUAGUGUGUUAAGAACAGUUAACAUGAGAUCUGUGUUCUUAACAGAUUUUACGUGUAUUAUACAGUAUUAUUAUCUUUAGGCGCAAUGUUGCCUGAGAUCUCUAGAACUUACUAAUCUUGCAUAGCUGAGAUUUUAUGCAUGCUGAUGAGCAGGUCUCCAGUUCCCUCUCGGCUCAGUCCCUAGCAGCCACCAUUCUAUUCUUUGCUUCUAUGGGUUUCACUGUAUUUGAUAACUCGUAUUGCUGGAAUCAUGCAGUAUUAGUCCUGUGAUUGGCUUCUUUUCUCUUUUUGUUGGCUGUUUCCACAUAUCCUCAGCAAUUCCAUUAGUAAGUACCCUUUGCUCUUCUUCCCCUGAGCUUCUGAAACAUGCAGAGGCUCUCGAUUCAGCACCAUCCAUUCCUUUUUAAUAUCUAGUAACCUUUUUUUUUUUUUUCUCUGAUUAGAGUGUAAACUGCCAAAGUGGGCAAGAGUGCUUCAGGCCUUCUGUAAUCUGCAUUGUGCCUUGCACAUUAGAGUAAGAGUCUGUUCUUUGCUUUUCUCCUUUUCCCUGCCUUCAUUCAAGAACUAUUUACUAAAUAUCAACUAUUUAAUAGUUUCUGGGAUGGCCUUUGGGAUACAGCUGUGAACUAGAUGGAUACAGUCCUUAGCCUUGUGUGGAUACAGCAGUGAACUAGGCAGAUACAGUCCUUAGCCUUGUGAGGUGAACCAGACAAAAACUGAAUAAAUGUAAAUAAACUGCAAAUUGCAGUUUGUUAAAAGGGAAUACAUGGCUAAGACUGAGUAUAACUUGGGGUAGGAGAGGUGACUGGAUUUUCUGUUUUUCUUGUAUUUUUUUUCUCCCAUUUUUAUCUUGGCUGUCUUCUCUCCCAAGUGAAAUAUUCCAGAUCUGUUCUUUCAGUUGGAUGUAUGUCUACAGAAUACGAGCUAUGAAAAGCUAACUGCUGUUAUUAUUUUCUCUUUCCACUACACCUCUCCCCAGUGUGUGUAAGCAGAUUGCCUGCAAAUAAGGAGAGGACAUGGCUUUUCAGUGGCCAGAUGCAGUGUGCCUUAUUGAGUAGCAUACAUGCAUCAGAGACUAUGUAUAGAAUAAUUACGAUUAAAUUAGCAUGCAGAAGAAAUGCUUCGAUAACAUUGGCAUACAGUUUUUACAAACCAAGAGCCAUGCUUAUAAAGCCCAUUGAAGGUUUUUGGUGAGUAUAUCCAGAAGGGGAGAAUGAUGGGGUCUGGGUGAAAAUUAUUAUUAUUACUUGGUGAAUUAUCCUAGUUCAGGACUGGUUAUAUAUAUAUAUCAUUAGGCACUCACUCACAUACCUUCAUAUGUAGUUUUGCAGUGAAGAUAAACAGAUACACAGGCUUACUAUAUGAAUUAAGCUGAAAGCAAUACAUAUGUUACAGUUGAUAAGAAAUCAAAUAUGGCAUAUGGGUUUAUGACUAAAUGAGGGAACUUGGUUUUUGAAUGCAGGUAACUACCAGUAGACUCAUCAAGUGAUCUGCCUUUACAUUCUGCAAAACGUAGACCCUCAGGGGAGCUAUGUUUACAAACUGAACUUCAGAAACGGAGAGAGUUGAAGAACUCAGAAAGAGGUACUGUGUUAGUUCACUAGGGCUGCCCUAACAAAGUCCCACAGACCAGGUGACUUAGAGAAUAAAAAGUUAUUUUCCCACAAUUACAGGUCUGAAAUAAAGAUGUUGGCAGCAUCGUUUCCUCUGAGGCGCCUCUUGUUGGCCUCUAGAUGUGUGUGUUCUCCUCUUUGUCUUCACAUGGAUUUACCUCUGUGUUUCUGUCUGUGCCCUCCUCUGAGGACAACAGUCAGACUGGACUAAGCCCCAUUCACAUGGUUUAAUUUACCUUAGUUACAUCUUUAAAGUCCUGUCUCCAAAUACCUUCACAUUUUGAUGUACUGCAGGUUAGGACUUCAACAUGUGAAUUGGGGUAGAGGGGGACACAAAUCCAUAACAGAUACUAAAAUAACAGUUACUGAGUAAGUCUGGGUCAGGGUCUAACAAGGAAAAUGCAAACCACUUCAAUUGUUUGCAGCAGAGGGAAUUUAAAACAAGAAAUUGAUUUCUGAAGUUCUUGUCAUGGCUCAGUGGUAACAAAUUCAACUAGUAUCUAUGAGGACACAGGUUUGAUCUCUGGCCUUGCUCAGGGGGUUAAGGAUCUGGCAUUGCCAUGAGCUGUGGUGUAGGUCACAGACGUGACUCAGAUCCCGCAUUGCUAUGGUUGUGCCAUAGGCCAGCAGCUAUAACUCUGAUUUGACCCCUAGUCUGAGAACUUCCAUAUGCCAUGGGUGUGGCCCUU
RNAcentral lists this long non-coding RNA (3521 nucleotides) under Sus scrofa (pig). Its description in RNAcentral is "lncRNA (ENSSSCG00000063062.1)". The record is from RNAcentral. Lineage: Eukaryota; Metazoa; Chordata; Mammalia; Artiodactyla; Suidae.